This 408-nucleotide ribosomal RNA is filed under the name soil bacterium 03G-04. RNAcentral's name for it is "bacterial SSU rRNA". It matches the Rfam family "Bacterial small subunit ribosomal RNA", at positions 82 to 487 of the family's 1533-position model. The record is from RNAcentral.
UUCUAUGACGUUAGCGGCGGACGGGUGAGUAACACGUGGGCAACCUGCCUGUAAGACUGGGAUAACUUCGGGAAACCGAAGCUAAUACCGGAUAGGAUCUUCUCCUUCAUGGGAGAUGAUUGAAAGAUGGUUUCGGCUAUCACUUACAGAUGGGCCCGCGGUGCAUUAGCUAGUUGGUGAGGUAACGGCUCACCAAGGCAACGAUGCAUAGCCGACCUGAGAGGGUGAUCGGCCACACUGGGACUGAGACACGGCCCAGACUCCUACGGGAGGCAGCAGUAGGGAAUCUUCCGCAAUGGACGAAAGUCUGACGGAGCAACGCCGCGUGAGUGAUGAAGGCUUUCGGGUCGUAAAACUCUGUUGUUAGGGAAGAACAAGUACGAGAGUAACUGCUNGUACCUGACGGUA